UUNGUCGACGUAACAAGUCGAGCGGGGAAGGUAUACGACGGUAGCUUAGGAAUCUGCCAUUAGUGGGGGACAACGUUCCGAAAGGAAUGCUAAUACCGCAUACGUCCUACGGGAGAAAGCAGGGGAUCUUCGGACCUUGCGCUAAAUGAUGAGCCUAAGUCGGAUUAGCUAGUGGUGGGGUAAAGGCCUACCAAGGCGAACGAAUCUGGUUAGCCGGGGUUUCUUGAAGAAAGGAUAGAUUCCGGCCAACAACUUGGGGGAACUGGAAGAAACAACCGGGCCCCCAAACUUCCCUUACCGGGGGAAGGGCAAGCCAGUGGGGGGAAGGUUAUUUGGGACCAAAUGGGGGCCAAGAAAGGCCCUUGAAUUCCAAGCCAAUGCCCGCGGUUGUUGUAGAAGAAGGGCCCUUUUGGGUUUGUAACAGGCACUUUAAGCCGAGGAGGAGGCUCUCCUAGUUUAAUACCUAGCGAUGAAGUGGACGUUACUUCGCAGGAAUAAAGCACCGGCUAACUUCUGUGGCCAGCCAGCCGCGGGUAAUNCAGAGGGUGCCGAGNCGUUAAUCGGAUUUACUGGGGCCGUAAAGCCGUUGCCGUAAGGCGCGCUUNUAUAAGNUCCGGGAUAGUUAAAUCCCCGAAGCUUAACUUGGGAAAUUGCUUUCCCGA
This 662-nucleotide ribosomal RNA is filed under the name uncultured bacterium. Its description in RNAcentral is "partial 16S ribosomal RNA". It matches the Rfam family "Bacterial small subunit ribosomal RNA", at positions 69 to 632 of the family's 1533-position model. The record is from RNAcentral.